Non-coding RNA from Odocoileus virginianus texanus, 291 nucleotides. The record is from RefSeq and is a predicted model, not a curated record. Lineage: Eukaryota; Metazoa; Chordata; Mammalia; Artiodactyla; Cervidae.
CCUGACUCCCCCUGUGCAAAUGAUGGAAAAAAAGUCACUAUUGGUGAGGGAAAAAAAUGACAUGAACAAAGGAACCACUGAUGCACCAGAAGUCUGGGUGGAAGAGGGUAUGGGGGCAAUGAGGGGCAGCAAGGAUUAAGGCUUCCUUCACCACCCUAGGCCUGAUGGAGAGAAGAAGGCAUAUGUUCGACUGGCUCCUGACUAUGAUGCUUUGGAUGUUGCCAACAAAAUUGGGAUCAUCUAAACUGAGUCCAGCUGGCUAAUUCCAAAUAUAAAAGUUUUCACUAUGUA